GCGAGAUCAUGACCUGAGCUGAAGUCGGAUGCUUAACCGACUGAGCCACCCAGGCGCCCCAGCAGAGGUCAUUCUAAAGGGGAGAGAAAGGAACAACGCCAAGGACGGGGAGAAAUGCAGUGACGCAGACGGAGGGCAGGCACUGAAGGUCAUGAAGGAGGGCCGUUGGCUGAAUUUCCUACCAUGCCCAGUGGGUGCAGUGAGAGGUUUCCACAUCUGCACUGAGAGGGUUUGGGCAGCAAACGGUUCCUGAGCCCAGUGUCUGUCAUUCACGCACCUGGAGAAGAAAAGGAACAUUCUGAGCCUCUGCCACAAGGCGUUCACAUUCGAAACCAUUUGACCUUACCCUGGCAGCCUCUGGCUUGGAUCUAUCAUCUGCUGCCCAAACCCAGAGAGAAGAGAAAGUUGCAGGCAUGCGCGGUCCACCCGCCAGGGGGGGAUUGCUUGAACCUCAUAUGGAGGGUCUUGGCCCUUCCCCACCUCCCACCUCCACUGGGGCCGUUUGGAUCGGAAGGUAACAACCCGACAGCAAGGCCACCUCUCUGGGAACAACAUCUACCCGACGGGAAAUGCAGGAGUGGGAGAAGGAGCCACCCCGCC
This is a long non-coding RNA of Leopardus geoffroyi (Geoffroy's cat), 600 nucleotides long. RefSeq lists it as uncharacterized. The record is from RefSeq and is a predicted model, not a curated record. The transcript has 4 exons. NCBI's taxonomy places the organism in Eukaryota, Metazoa, Chordata, Mammalia, Carnivora, Felidae.